Long non-coding RNA from Xenopus tropicalis (tropical clawed frog), 2413 nucleotides. RefSeq lists it as uncharacterized. The transcript is spliced from 3 exons. NCBI's taxonomy places the organism in Eukaryota, Metazoa, Chordata, Amphibia, Anura, Pipidae. The record is from RefSeq and is a predicted model, not a curated record.
UACUGUAUCUAUUAAUUAAAAGGAGUUACCAGCCCUGGUACUACUGGUUAAUCCCAGGAUGCUCUCUAUUUUUUGCUGGGUUCAGGCCAACAUUUGGGGUCCAGUUAGUAGGUAUAAUGGUAAGGGGUUCCAUUAUUGACAGAGCCCAAAACACAUAUAAUAUGUCUAAUAUGUCACAAUAGAGCUCAGAUGUUACACUUGAAGUGGGAUUCAGACCCAGAAACAUAGAGAAUAUGCAGUUAUAUUUCAACUGCAGUACAUAAAAUUUAAAGUGACAGGGACUUUUAAUGAAUUACUUAGUUUUUUAGAAUUUCAUUUUCUCUAAUUAUGCAAAAGACUUUUUGGGUUGCAUUCAAUAUAACUUUUCAGCUAUGAACAGUGAACCAGUGAUCAAUAGCUGUAUUUGGCGGAAUAAUAUCACAAAUACUGCUCACUGACUGAAAAAGCAUACAAAGCUACAUGCACCUGUGAACGAAGAUGUACCCGAAGCACAGCCUUCUAAUUUCAGCAUGAUUCCAGCUAUGUUAAGCCUUCAGAAUGCCAUUGGACUAAGAUGGGAAAAGUUCUAGAAACCUAACAGGACUGCAGCACUGGCUCUGCUGCUUUUCAACUACUAGUGAGAACAAGCCCUAAAUAUUUCAGAUGUGACACCCUGAUAGCAGUACAGCUCUGCAAGAUGCACCAGGAUCUGGUAAUCUUAAUAAAAGCAACAUGGAUAUGUUUGUCUACACAGGCUUAAAGAAACACAUUUAUUAUCAGAGAGCAGCACAAAGCGUACAAGAAAUAACUUGUGCAACUGUGAACAUAUGACAUUAGAGAUAUAUGAAUGAGUGGUUUUCUUUUUAGCUGUCAGAUUUGGUGAGAAAAAUUAAGUUUUCCUGGGAUUAAGAACAAGCAGCCUGUCUUGCUGCGAUAAAAUCCACCUUGGUCCCCGCGGGUUUAUAUGGAUGAAAGAGGCUACAGUUGACCAACAAGGACUUUGGCAGGCAUUUGUGCGUGUGAAUGAGGGAAGCUGCCCUAGUGAUCUCAGACUGUGUUGGAUCAUUGUUGGAUAUCUUCCUUCCUUGUGAAUUAGGACAAUGGGAGUACUCUGCAUUAUUCUCCAUAUUUCAUGUCAAUUUGUAACAAACCAGAAUGUCAGUUUUUAACAAACCAGAAUGUAAAAGGAAAGAGGGACAAUGUAUUAAGGUAAUAGUUAUAAAGCACUAUAAUAGUAUGUUGGAUUAAGUGAAAGGUGUAUGUUCUGCAGAACUUUUCAUUCUCAAGCUCCUAAUAACAUGUGGAUGUCCCCUGUUGAAUUUUCUCAUCUUUCUCAAUUUAAUAUUGUUCAUUAGUUGUUCAUUAAUAUUGUUAUUUGCAUUGCAAAUUUUAAGGCUUGAAGGUAGCGUAAACUUUUGGAGCAAGCAACUUUUCAUUAAGAAGUUUUAUUACAUACACUGCGCACUGUCGCAAGCAAUAAAAUGUGCAAACUUUUCUAAGCAGUUUCCACAUUCGCAAAGCCCAUAUAAGAUUUGCGCAAAGCAAAUUUGUUUGCACAGAGGCAUACAUUUUUGCAUUGCUAAUAAUUUUCUGUUACCGACUUUUAUUACAUUCCCCCAUGCUUUUUAUGACAUAACCCCUUUUAUAGAAAAGCAACUAUUUAUAAAUACGUGCGCCGGUAUAUUUUCUGACUCUGCACAACAUGGUCAGAGACAGCACAGGACACACCUUAGUGCUGCUUUUCUGGGGACUUUCUAUAUUGCCCUUCGGUAAAAAGUCCCUUUCGUACCAAGAGUUACCUUUAUCUGAUCAGAUGCAUUUUGUUUUGUGCUUGGAGAAACAUUCCAGGAAUAUUUAAUGCUUCAAAAGUCUGGGCCUCCGUGGGGCUUGCUUGCUUGCUUUGAAUACAUCUGCGGCGAAAAUGCUAAUGUUUGUGUCUCAAUUGCAAGCAUUUCCGACAGUUAGUACUUUAUUUUAUUGCUUCUAGAGGACUUAAAGAGAAACAGAAGUCUUCUGUAUGAAGAAUUAGUUAAGACAUCCGCACACAUGCAAGCUCAAACAAACACAUACAAAGAGUCUAUUUUUAGGGAUUAAAGGGUAAGUACAGGCUCAGCAUCGGCAUAUGUAUUUUAUUUUAGAUGAGUAGCUUUCAACCAAUUUUUAUACUUUUUUACUUAGUAUUCACAGUAUUUCUGUGUUGACUGCUGGGAUCCAGGGCUAAUACUGUAAUGUAGCACCCUCUAUCACUGGAAGGUUAGCAGAUCAUUUAGAACAAUAGAUAACCAUACAUACCUUGAACAAUUUUAACCAAUUGUGCCUAUACUGCCAGACCACCUGACCAUGUAUUUCGCCAUGUUUGUGUGUGUAUAGGGAUGGAAAGGGAUUUAAACAGAGCAUCCCGGAUGGUAUUUGUGUGCUGCUUCUUUGCUGUAAA